Molecule: ribosomal RNA, 112 nt
Filed under: Caerostris darwini
Lineage: Eukaryota; Metazoa; Arthropoda; Arachnida; Araneae; Araneidae
Source: RNAcentral
AACGGCCAUACCAUGUCGAAUAUGCCGGUUCUCGUUAGAUCACCGAAGUCAAGCAUCAUUGGGCGCGGUCAGUACUUGGGUGGGUGACCACCAGGGAACACCGCGUGCCGUU